AUUGAACGCUGGCGGCAGGCCUAACACAUGCAAGUCGAGCGGAAACGGGAAUAGCUUGCUAUUCGGCGUCGAGCGGCGGACGGGUGAGUAAUGCCUGGGAAAUUGCCCUGAUGUGGGGGAUAACCAUUGGAAACGAUGGCUAAUACCGCAUAAUAGCUUCGGCUUAAAGAGGGGGACCUUCGGGCCUCUCGCUUCAGGAUAUGCCCAGGUGGGAUUAGCUAGUUGGUGAGGUAAAGGCUCACCAAGGCGACGAUCCCUAGCUGGUCUGAGAGGAUGAUCAGCCACACUGGAACUGAGACACGGUCCAGACUCCUACGGGAGGCAGCAGUGGGGAAUAUUGCACAAUGGGCGCAAGCCUGAUGCAGCCAUGCCGCGUGUAUGAAGAAGGCCUUCGGGUUGUAAAGUACUUUCAGCAGUGAGGAAGGGUGUGUAGUUAGUAGCUGCAUACUUUGACGUUAGCUGCAGAAGAAGCACCGGCUAACUCCGUGCCAGCAGCCGCGGUAAUACGGUGGGUGCGAGCGUUGAUCGGAAUUACUGGGCGUAAAGCGCAUGCAGGUGGUUUGUUAAGUCAGAUGUGAAAGCCCGGGGCUCAACCUCGGAACCGCAUUUGAAACUGGCAGGCUAGAGUACUGUAGAGGGGGGUAGAAUUUCA
This 652-nucleotide ribosomal RNA is filed under the name uncultured Vibrionaceae bacterium. RNAcentral's name for it is "bacterial SSU rRNA". It matches the Rfam family "Bacterial small subunit ribosomal RNA", at positions 28 to 671 of the family's 1533-position model. Lineage: Bacteria; Pseudomonadati; Pseudomonadota; Gammaproteobacteria; Vibrionales; Vibrionaceae. The record is from RNAcentral.